Molecule: ribosomal RNA, 594 nt
Filed under: Longidorus juglans
Lineage: Eukaryota; Metazoa; Nematoda; Enoplea; Dorylaimida; Longidoridae
Description: SSU rRNA
Rfam family: Eukaryotic small subunit ribosomal RNA
Source: RNAcentral
CUAACCGUAAACGAUGACAACCAGCGAUUAGCAGGCGUUAAUAUAUGACCCUGCUAGCAGCUUCCGGGAAACCAAAGUUUUUCGUUUCCGGGGGAAGUAUGGUUGCAAAGCUGAAACUUAAAGGAAUUGACGGAAGGGCACCACCAGGAGUGGAGCCUGCGGCUUAAUUUGACUCAACACGGGAAAACUCACCCGGCCCGGACACCGUAAGGAUUGACAGACUGAGAGCUCUUUCUUAAUUCGGUGGGUGGUGGUGCAUGGCCGUUCUUAGUUGGUGGAGCGAUUUGUCUGGUUAAUUCCGAUAACGAACGAGACUCUGGCCUAUUAAAUAGCCGGUAUAUAUUGAAAGUUUGCCGCGCUUCUUAGAGGGACAACCGGCUUCUAGCCGCGUGAAAUAGAGCAAUAACAGGUCUGUGAUGCCCUUAGAUGUCCGGGGCUGCACGCGCGCUACACUGAAAGAAUCAGUAUGCGCUUUUGCCUAGUUCGGAAGAACUGGGUAACCCUAGCAAAUUCUUUCGUGCUUGGGAUAGGGAAUUGCAAUUAUUUCCCUUAAACGAGGAAUUCCCAGUAAAUGCGGGUCAUAAGCUCGCGUUG